GCAUAAGUUGGGCAAUUCAUCACAUAAUAAUAUGCCAUAAGUCUGGCAUAAGUUGGGCAAUUCAUCACAUAAUAAUAUGCAAUAAGUCCGGAAUGUAACACUUAAUAUCUUGCCUUUAAGUCUGGCAAUUACAUCACUAAAUCAGCCAUAGUCUGGCCAUAAGUCUUACAUUACAUGACAUAUAGCAGCACACAUACUUCAAGUCUGGCAAUAUAAUGCCUCAGAACCUAACAUGAAGUCUGUCAACUCACACAAAAGUCUAGCAUUAAGUCUUGCAAAACAUCC
This 285-nucleotide long non-coding RNA is filed under the name Oryza brachyantha (malo sina). RNAcentral's name for it is "long non-coding RNA (OBRA_LNC001326)". The record is from RNAcentral. Lineage: Eukaryota; Viridiplantae; Streptophyta; Magnoliopsida; Poales; Poaceae.